AGUGAACGCUGGCGGUAGGCCUAACACAUGCAAGUCGAACGGCAGCACAGUAAGAGCUUGCUCUUACGGGUGGCGAGUGGCGGACGGGUGAGGAAUACAUCGGAAUCUACUUUUUCGUGGGGGAUAACGUAGGGAAACUUACGCUAAUACCGCAUACGACCUACGGGUGAAAGCAGGGGAUCUUCGGACCUUGCGCGAUUGAAUGAGCCGAUGUCGGAUUAGCUAGUUGGCGGGGUAAAGGCCCACCAAGGCGACGAUCCGUAGCUGGUCUGAGAGGAUGAUCAGCCACACUGGAACUGAGACACGGUCCAGACUCCUACGGGAGGCAGCAGUGGGGAAUAGUGGACAAUGGGCGCAAGCCUGAUCCAGCCAUACCGCGUGGGUGAAGAAGGCCUUCUGGUUGUAAAGCCCUUUUGUUGGGAAAGAAAAGCAGCAGGUUAAUACCCCGCUGUUCUGACGGUACCCAAAGAAUAAGCACCGGCUAACUUCGUG
Molecule: ribosomal RNA, 492 nt
Filed under: uncultured bacterium
Lineage: Bacteria
Description: partial 16S ribosomal RNA
Rfam family: Bacterial small subunit ribosomal RNA
Source: RNAcentral